AAAGAAAAUAACAAUGAUUCCCUUAGUAACGGCGAGUGAAGGGGGAUAAGCUCAAAUUUUAAAUCUGCUAGGUCUUACCUAUCAGAGUUGUAAUUUGAAGAAGCGUUUUCCGCGUCUCGGUUGACCCAAAUCCUUUGGGAUAUGGUAUCAUGGAGGGUGAGAAUCCCGUUCGGUUGACCUUGUGACGCUUUACGAUACGUUUUCUAAGAGUCGAGUUGUUUGGGAUUGCAGCUCAAAAUGGGAGGUAAAUUUCUCCUAAGGCUAAAUAUUGGCGAGAGACCGAUAGCGAACAAGUACCGUGAGGGAAAGAUGAAAAGAACUUUGAAAAGAGAGUAAAAUAGUACGUGAAAUUGUUGAAAGGGAAACGAUUGAAG
Molecule: ribosomal RNA, 374 nt
Filed under: Funneliformis mosseae
Lineage: Eukaryota; Fungi; Glomeromycota; Glomeromycetes; Glomerales; Glomeraceae
Description: eukaryotic LSU rRNA
Rfam family: Eukaryotic large subunit ribosomal RNA
Source: RNAcentral